GAUGAACGCUGGCGGUAUGCUUAACACAUGCAAGUCGAACGGACUCUUCGGAGUUAGUGGCGGACGGGUGAGUAACGCGUGAGAAUCUGGCUUUGGGUUCGGGACAACCACUGGAAACGGUGGCUAAUACCGGAUGUGCCGAGAGGUAAAAGAGAAAUUGCCUGAAGAUGAGCUCGCGUCUGAUUAGCUAGUUGGUGAGGUAAAGGCUCACCAAGGCAACGAUCAGUAGCUGGUCUGAGAGGAUGACCAGCCACACUGGGACUGAGACACGGCCCAGACUCCUACGGGAGGCAGCAGUGGGGAAUUUUCCGCAAUGGGCGAAAGCCUGACGGAGCAAUACCGCGUGAGGGAAGAAGGCUCUUGGGUUGUAAACCUCUUUUCUUAGGGAAGAACAAAAUGACGGUACCUAAGGAAUCAGCAUCGGCUAACUCCGUG
Molecule: ribosomal RNA, 435 nt
Filed under: uncultured bacterium
Lineage: Bacteria
Description: partial 16S ribosomal RNA
Rfam family: Bacterial small subunit ribosomal RNA
Source: RNAcentral